UGGGGAAUAUUGCACAAUGGGCGCAAGCCUGAUGCAGCAACGCCGCGUGGAGGAAGACGGUUUUCGGAUUGUAAACUCCUGUUCUUAGUGAAGAAAAAUGACGGUAGCUAAGGAGCAAGCCACGGCUAACUACGUGCCAGCAGCCGCGGUAAUACGUAGGUGGCAAGCGUUGUCCGGAAUUACUGGGUGUAAAGGGAGCGCAGGCGGGGGAGCAAGUCAGCUGUGAAAUCUAUGGGCUUAACCCAUAAACUGCAGCUGAAACUGUUCUUCUUGAGUGAAGUAGAGGUUGGCGGAAUUCCGAGUGUAGCGGUGAAAUGCGUAGAUAUUGGGAGGAACAUCUGUGGCGAAGGCGGUUUACUGGACGACAACUGACGCUGAGACACGAAAGCGUGGGGAGCAAACAGGAUUAGAUACCCUGGUAGU
Molecule: ribosomal RNA, 423 nt
Filed under: uncultured Eubacterium sp.
Lineage: Bacteria; Bacillati; Bacillota; Clostridia; Eubacteriales; Eubacteriaceae
Description: bacterial SSU rRNA
Rfam family: Bacterial small subunit ribosomal RNA
Source: RNAcentral